GAUGAACGCUAGCGGCAGGCCUAAUACAUGCAAGACGAACGGUAAGUUGAGUAGCAAUACUUAGCCAAGAGUGUCGUACGGGUGCGUAACACGUAUGCAACCUACCCUAUACAGGAGGAUAGCCUAGGGAAACCUGGAUUAACCCUUCAUAGUAUUAUUGGAUGGCAUCAUUUGAUAAUUAAAACUGAGGUGGUAUAGGAUGGGCAUGCGUCUGAUUAGUUAGUUGGCGGGGUAAUGGCCCACCAAGACGAUGAUCAGUAGGGGUUCUGAGAGGAAGAUCCCCCACACUGGCACUGAGAUACGGGCCAGACUCCUACGGGAGGCAGCAGUAGGGAAUAUUGGUCAAUGGAUGCAAGUCU
RNAcentral lists this ribosomal RNA (359 nucleotides) under uncultured bacterium. RNAcentral's name for it is "bacterial SSU rRNA". It matches the Rfam family "Bacterial small subunit ribosomal RNA", at positions 28 to 384 of the family's 1533-position model. The record is from RNAcentral.